ACCCCGCUGCAGGGUCAGCGGCACGGAGCAGGGGCACCCAGCAGGGCCCUAAAACUGGACCCGGAGUGGGUCGGUGCCUCCCGUGCCCUAAUUUGGGCUGGGCACAGCACAAAGAUGCUGAGGGGGUGCAAAAGCAUUCCCCCCCCCAAAUAGGACUGGGGGCCUGGACCCCUGCAAAAUCCCCCCGUGUGGACCACCUUGGCGCCCGCCCCAAAAGAGCCCCCAUCAGGAAAAGGCCAGAAAGAGCUGACGGUGGCAGCCACUUCCCAAAAUUGGAGGCAGGGACAAACCCCUAAACGGGGAAGUGAUGUGGAUUUGGGCUCCUUACCCCCCGCUGCAGAUAAAUAGCUCGCCCCUGGCCGUGCAGGACAGGCGGCGGCGUGGAGGCACAGCCGGGUGCCCGCCGGAGGACACGGGGACCACCGGGGGACACGGGGACCACCGGGGGACACGGACCCUCACUGUCACACCGAGGUAAUGCUGCUGCCCCCGGGGCACGGAGGGGCUGGGAAGGGGACCCUGGGGGCCGAGGUUUGCCAUGGGGGUGCUGUAGGAUCGGUGCCGGGGGUGCCGGGCAGUUUCCCCAUUCCCCUCCUGGUGCCCAGCCCCACGGGUGAGCUCCAGCAGCGCCCCAAGGAGCUGGCAUCUGCCUGGCACUGCCCCUGUGGGGAUUUUGGAGGUUGUCCUGCAGAGAUGGGUGCGGGUGGGUGCAGAGGGGAUGGUUACAGCUCCUUCCCCGGGGCACUCACCCCAUUUUCCCUUCUCCCAUCCAGGCACCGUCCUGUCGGUGUCGGGGUGGCGACGCUCAGCCCCUGCUGCUCCAUCCCACACACUCAGCUUAUCAAUUCCUGCUGAACCCAGCCAAAAUUCGGGGGCUGCUGCGCAACGACCCGACACCUCCUGCCCUCUGCCGCCUGCCCCAUGGCUGUGGCCACGUCCCCCCUGCAGUGGCUCGUCCUCAUGGCCAGCCUUGUGCCCCCAGGUAAGGUGCCACCGCACCAGCCCACGGAGCAGUGGGACAGCCAGGGCAUGGAGAAAGGACUUGGAGACGGGGAGAGGGGCAAGAAAACGAGCUCCCAAAGGGCUCAGAGGGCAAAUUUCCCCUUUUCUUCCCGGUGAUUUAGGGCCUUUGCCCUUUGAGUCCAGCUGGUGCCUUUUGCCUGCUGGAAGCCCCGCUGGGAGCAUCGCCCCCGGCCGGACCCUUCCCCAUUUAUCUCCACCUCCACGCUUUUUCCUGGAGGGUUCAGCUCUCCUCUCCCAAACCCCACUGUGGCCCUGGCUGGAUGGGGUCAGGAGCAGUGGCACGGGGCUCGUGGGGUGGCACAGGGGGGCCGGGCACCAGCGGCCACCCCUUAUCACCCACCCCUUGCCUUCCCUCCGCCAGCCCACGGCUC
RNAcentral lists this long non-coding RNA (1394 nucleotides) under Anas platyrhynchos platyrhynchos (common mallard). RNAcentral describes it as "lncRNA (ENSAPLG00000029118.1)". The record is from RNAcentral. Lineage: Eukaryota; Metazoa; Chordata; Aves; Anseriformes; Anatidae.